Molecule: transfer RNA, 71 nt
Filed under: Candidatus Woesearchaeota archaeon CG10_big_fil_rev_8_21_14_0_10_45_16
Lineage: Archaea; Nanobdellati; Candidatus Woesearchaeota
Description: tRNA-Ala
Rfam family: tRNA
About the family: Transfer RNA (tRNA) molecules are approximately 80 nucleotides in length. Their secondary structure includes four short double-helical elements and three loops (D, anti-codon, and T loops).
Source: RNAcentral
GGGCUCGUGGUAUAACGGUAGAACAGACCCUUGGCUAGGGUCAGAUUCGGGUUCGAUUCCCGACGAGUCCA